GGCCUGUUGAGCAUAAUUUCAGGUCUGACCUGCCCAAUGAGUAAUUAAAUGGCUGCGGUAUAUUGACCGUGCAAAGGUAGCAUAAUCAUUAGUUUUUUAAUUGAAAGCUUGUAUGAAAGGUUUGAUGAGAAAAUUACUGUCUCUAGAAGGAUUGAUUAGAACUUUAUUUUUAAGUAAAAAAGCUUAAAUGUGUAUAGAAGACGAGAAGACCCUAUAGAGUUUCAUAUUUUUUAUAAAGAUUUUAGAUUUUUGGAAGUUAGAAAUUUUAUAUUUUUAGGAUAAUAUUUUGUUGGGGUGAUAGGAAAAUUGAUUAAACUUUUCUUGAUUUGGUACAUUGAUGUAUGGAUGUAUGAUCCUAUAGUUUAGAUUAUAAGAUAAAAUUACCUUAGGGAUAACAGCGUAAUUUUUUAGAGAGUUCUUAUCGAAAAAAAAGUUUGCGACCUCGAUGUUGGAUUAAAAUUAGUUAUUGGUGAAGAAGCUGAUAAACUUGGUCUGUUCGACCUUUAAAAUUUUACAUGAUCUGAGUUUAAACCGGUGUGAG
RNAcentral lists this ribosomal RNA (541 nucleotides) under Trigonopterus sp. 692 AR-2022a. RNAcentral describes it as "partial large subunit ribosomal RNA". It matches the Rfam family "Bacterial large subunit ribosomal RNA", at positions 1819 to 2625 of the family's 2925-position model. The record is from RNAcentral. Lineage: Eukaryota; Metazoa; Arthropoda; Insecta; Coleoptera; Curculionidae.